GAUGAACGCUGGCGGCGUGCCUAAUACAUGCAAGUCGAGCGAACGGACGAGAAGCUUGCUUCUCUGAUGUUAGCGGCGGACGGGUGAGUAACACGUGGAUAACCUACCUAUAAGACUGGGAUAACUUCGGGAAACCGGAGCUAAUACCGGAUAAUAUUUUGAACCGCAUGGUUCAAAAGUGAAAGACGGUCUUGCUGUCACUUAUAGAUGGAUCCGCGCGGCAUUAGCUAGUUGGUAAGGUAACGGCUUACCAAGGCAACGAUGCAUAGCCGACCUGAGAGGGUGAUCGGCCACACUGGAACUUAGCCACGGUCCAGACUCCUACGGGAGGCAGCAGUAGGGAAUCUUCCGCAAUGGGCGAAAGCCUUACGGAGCAACGCCGCGUGAGUGAUGAAGGUCUUCGGAUCGUAAAACUCUGUUAUUAGUGAAGAACAUAUUUGUAAGUAACUGUGCACAUCUUGACGGUACCUAAUCAGAAAGCCACGGCUAACUACGUG
This 497-nucleotide ribosomal RNA is filed under the name uncultured bacterium. RNAcentral's name for it is "partial 16S ribosomal RNA". It matches the Rfam family "Bacterial small subunit ribosomal RNA", at positions 28 to 507 of the family's 1533-position model. The record is from RNAcentral.